GAUGAACGCUGGCGGCGUGCCUAACACAUGCAAGUCGAACGGACAUUUUUUGGGAAAGCUCUUCGGAACUGGAAUCUAAAUGUUAGUGGCGGACGGGUGAGUAACGCGUGAGCAAUCUGCCUUUCAGAGGGGGAGUAACAGCCGGAAACGGCUGCUAGUACCGCAUGACAUACGGACAUGGCAUCAUGAUCGUAUCAAAGGAGCAAUCCGCUUUAAGAUGGACUCGCGUCCAAUUAGCUAGUUGGUGAGGUAACGGCCCACCAAGGCGACGAUUGGUAGCCGGACUGAGAGGUUGAACGGCCACAUUGGGACUGAGACACGGCCCAG
RNAcentral lists this ribosomal RNA (327 nucleotides) under uncultured bacterium. Its description in RNAcentral is "bacterial SSU rRNA". It matches the Rfam family "Bacterial small subunit ribosomal RNA", at positions 28 to 334 of the family's 1533-position model. The record is from RNAcentral.